This 401-nucleotide ribosomal RNA is filed under the name uncultured bacterium. RNAcentral describes it as "bacterial SSU rRNA". It matches the Rfam family "Bacterial small subunit ribosomal RNA", at positions 54 to 502 of the family's 1533-position model. The record is from RNAcentral.
CAUGCAAGUUGAAGGAACCUUCGGGUUAGUGGCGGACGGGUGAGUAACGCGUGAGAAUCUGCCCUCAGGAGGGGGAUAACAGCUGGAAACGGCUGCUAAUACCCCAUAUGCCGCGAGGUGAAAUGAAUUUGGCCCGAGGAUGAGCUCGCGUCUGAUUAACUAGUUGGUGUAGGUAAUGGCUCACCAAGGCAUCGAUCAGUAGCUGGUAUGAGAGGAUGAUCAGCCACACUGGGACUGAGACACGGCCCAGACUCCUACGGGAGGCAGCAGUGGGGAAUUUUCCGCAAUGGGCGAAAGCCUGACGGACAACGCCGCGUGAGGGAUGAAGGCCUCUGGGCUGUAAACCUCUUUUAUCAAGGAAGAAGAUCUGACGGUACUUGAUGAAUAAGCCACGGCUAAUC